Serinus canaria (Common canary) is the source of this 403-nucleotide long non-coding RNA. RefSeq lists it as uncharacterized. The record is from RefSeq and is a predicted model, not a curated record. NCBI's taxonomy places the organism in Eukaryota, Metazoa, Chordata, Aves, Passeriformes, Fringillidae. The transcript has 3 exons.
CUGAGGUUCUGGUGUCUCCAGGUGGGAGUUCCAUGGGAGGGUUGGAUUUGGGGCCGGUUCUGAGAUUUUGGAGAGCAAGUCUUGGGUGCUACACUGGGUUUUGAAGGACCUGGAUGAGUUUCUGGAGGUCUGGAUGGGUUCCUGGAGGUCUGGAUGAGUUCCUGGAGGUCUGGAUGAGUUCCUGGAGGUCUGGAUGGGUUUUUGGAGGUCUGGAUGAGUUUCUGGAGGUCUGGAUGGGUUCCUGGAGGUCUGGAUGAGUUCCUGGAGGUGUGGAUGAGUUCCUGGAGGUGUGGAUGGGUUCCUGGAGGUGUGGAUGGGUUCCUGGAGGUCUGGAUGGGUUCCUGGAGGUGUGGAUGGGUUCCUGGAGGUCUGGAUGGGUUCCUGGAGAUCUGGAGACCGCAGG